RNAcentral lists this ribosomal RNA (190 nucleotides) under uncultured bacterium. RNAcentral's name for it is "partial 16S ribosomal RNA". It matches the Rfam family "Bacterial small subunit ribosomal RNA", at positions 335 to 524 of the family's 1533-position model. The record is from RNAcentral.
ACUCCUACGGGAGGCAGCAGUGGGGAAUAUUGCGCAAUGGGGGCAACCCUGACGCAGCAGCCGCGUGGGGGAUGAAGGCCUUCGGUUGUAAGCCUGUGGGGAGGACGAAUAAGUCGUGGCGAACAGCCACGAUGAUGACGGUAUCCCCUUAGCAAGCACCGGCUAACUCUGUGCCAGCAGCCGCGGUAAU